This is a non-coding RNA of Orcinus orca (killer whale), 73 nucleotides long. NCBI's taxonomy places the organism in Eukaryota, Metazoa, Chordata, Mammalia, Artiodactyla, Delphinidae. The record is from the annotation of a RefSeq genome assembly.
UCCUGGGUGGUCCAGUGGUUAGGACUUGGCGCUUUUACUCCCAAGGGCCCAGGUUCAAUCCCUGGUUGGGGAA